GGCUACUGGGUGCUUUCUGGACCUCCUAUCAACUGGAAGGUCAAUUUUAAGGCCUGGCAACGCCCCAAGGAGGAUCUUGAGGAAGAACAAAGGAAGAUUGAAGAGGCUGCUAAACUUCUUUGCUGGGAGAAGAUAUCUGAGAAGGGAGAGACUGCUAUUUGGCAGAAAAGAAAGGAUAGUGCCUCAUGCCGUUCUGCACAAGAAAAUUCUGCAGCCAAAGUUUGUAAACCUUCUGAUCCAGAUAGUGUCUGGUACAACAAAAUGGAAAUGUGCAUAACACCAAACAAUGGUAAUGGUGGAGACGAGAGUCUAAAGCCAUUCCCUGAGAGACUUUAUGCUGUUCCUCCAAGAAUUGCCAAUGGAUUAGUUUCUGGAGUGUCUGUUGAGAAAUAUCAAGAAGACAGCAAGAAAUGGAAGAAACACGUAAGUGCUUAUAAGAAGAUCAACAAACUCCUGGACACUGGAAGGUACCGCAACAUUAUGGACAUGAAUGCUGGACUAGGAGGUUUUGCAGCAGCACUUCACGAUCCCAAGUUUUGGGUUAUGAAUGUUAUGCCAACAAUAGCUGAGAAGAAUACUUUGGGAGUUGUAUUCGAACGGGGACUGAUUGGUAUCUAUCAUGACUGGUGUGAAGCAUUUU
Molecule: unclassified non-coding RNA, 640 nt
Filed under: Hevea brasiliensis (rubber tree)
Lineage: Eukaryota; Viridiplantae; Streptophyta; Magnoliopsida; Malpighiales; Euphorbiaceae
Source: RNAcentral